AGUAUUGUGAGAGCAAUCGAACAAGAUGAAAGAUUUGGUGCUAUUCCUGGUUGUCGUGCUUCUUGCGUACACGUACGCUGCCCCACAAGCAGUCAACCAUGCUCCCAUAACAGCUUCGGGAGGCUCGGCAGCUUCUGGAGUAGUCUCUGGUUCACAUUUCGGCAAUGGAGCAUUCAGUGCAGGCGGGAAUAAAAAGAGCUGCGGAUUGAUACAAAGUUUGGUGUCAGUAUUGUGGAAUGUGUGUUGAUAAGGAGUCUCAUCUAUAUUGACCGAAGAAAACGUGCAUUUCGGAGUGAAGAAAUAUGUCUAUAAAUAAGAUUGUACAUGUAAUUUGUUUUAAAACAAUAUUGUUUUACAUAAUAUUAAAUGGUAUGAAACUGUACGAGUGAUUUUUAUAUUUUUAUGCUACAUUGUUAUAAUACGUAAUGAUUAUUGUCAAAUGAUAGAUGAACAUUAUAAUAAAAAUACUAGGUAAUUGA
This is a long non-coding RNA of Helicoverpa zea (corn earworm), 479 nucleotides long. RefSeq lists it as uncharacterized. NCBI's taxonomy places the organism in Eukaryota, Metazoa, Arthropoda, Insecta, Lepidoptera, Noctuidae. The transcript has 3 exons. The record is from RefSeq and is a predicted model, not a curated record.